RNAcentral lists this ribosomal RNA (487 nucleotides) under uncultured bacterium. RNAcentral describes it as "bacterial SSU rRNA". It matches the Rfam family "Bacterial small subunit ribosomal RNA", at positions 28 to 507 of the family's 1533-position model. The record is from RNAcentral.
GAUGAACGCUAGCUACAGGCUUAACACAUGCAAGUCGAGGGGCAGCGCAGUGUAGCAAUACAUGGGCGGCGACCGGCGCACGGGUGCGUAACGCGUAUCCAACCUUCCCGUUACUCAGGGAUAGCCUUCCGAAAGGGAGAUUAAUACCUGAUGGUGUUUGAAUUCCGCAUGUCAUUCAAACUAAAGAUUUAUCGGUAACGGAUGGGGAUGCGUGACAUUAGAUAGUAGGCGGGGUAACGGCCCACCUAGUCUACGAUGUCUAGGGGUUCUGAGAGGAAGGUCCCCCCANACUGGAACUGAGACACGGUCCAGACUCCUACGGGAGGCAGCAGUGAGGAAUAUUGGUCAAUGGUCGGAAGACUGAACCAGCCAAGUAGCGUGAAGGAUGAAGGUUCUAUGGAUUGUAAACUUCUUUUAUACGGGAAUAAAACCUCCCACGUGUGGGAGCUUGUAUGUACCGUAUGAAUAAGCAUCGGCUAACUCCGUG